RNAcentral lists this ribosomal RNA (466 nucleotides) under Pseudomonas lurida. RNAcentral describes it as "bacterial SSU rRNA". It matches the Rfam family "Bacterial small subunit ribosomal RNA", at positions 1 to 468 of the family's 1533-position model. The record is from RNAcentral. Lineage: Bacteria; Pseudomonadati; Pseudomonadota; Gammaproteobacteria; Pseudomonadales; Pseudomonadaceae.
UGAGUUUGAUCCCCUGGCUCAGAUUGAACGCUGGCGGCAGGCCUAACACAUGCAAGUCGAGCGGUAGAGAGAAGCUUGCUUCUCUUGAGAGCGGCGGACGGGUGAGUAAUGCCUAGGAAUCUGCCUGGUAGUGGGGGAUAACGUUCGGAAACGGACGCUAAUACCGCAUACGUCCUACGGGAGAAAGCAGGGGACCUUCGGGCCUUGCGCUAUCAGAUGAGCCUAGGUCGGAUUAGCUAGUUGGUGGGGUAAUGGCUCACCAAGGCGACGAUCCGUAACUGGUCUGAGAGGAUGAUCAGUCACACUGGAACUGAGACACGGUCCAGACUCCUACGGGAGGCAGCAGUGGGGAAUAUUGGACAAUGGGCGAAAGCCUGAUCCAGCCAUGCCGCGUGUGUGAAGAAGGUCUUCGGAUUGUAAAGCACUUUAAGUUGGGAGGAAGGGCAGUUGCCUAAUACGUAACUGU